This 292-nucleotide ribosomal RNA is filed under the name uncultured bacterium. RNAcentral's name for it is "partial 16S ribosomal RNA". It matches the Rfam family "Bacterial small subunit ribosomal RNA", at positions 505 to 796 of the family's 1533-position model. The record is from RNAcentral.
GUGUCAGCCGCCGCGGUAAUACGAAGGGGGCUAGCGUUGUUCGGAAUUACUGGGCGUAAAGCGCGCGCAGGUGGUCUUUCAAGUCAGUGGUGAAAGCCCGGAGCUCAACUCCGGAAAUGCCAUUGAAACUGUGAGACUUGAGGACGAGAGAGGUGAGUGGAAUUCCCAGUGUAGAGGUGAAAUUCGUAGAUAUUGGGAAGAACACCGGUGGCGAAGGCGGCUCACUGGCUCGUAUCUGACGCUCAGGCGCGACAGCGUGGGGAUCAAACAGGAUUAGAAACCCGCGUAGUCC